This 117-nucleotide signal recognition particle RNA is filed under the name Pan troglodytes (chimpanzee). Its description in RNAcentral is "Metazoan signal recognition particle RNA". It matches the Rfam family "Metazoan signal recognition particle RNA". Rfam says of the family: The signal recognition particle (SRP) is a universally conserved ribonucleoprotein. The record is from Rfam by way of RNAcentral. Lineage: Eukaryota; Metazoa; Chordata; Mammalia; Primates; Hominidae.
GCUGGGCGUGGUGGCUCACGCCUGUAAUCCCAACACUUUGGGAGGCCGAGGUGGGUGGAUCACCUGAGGUCAGGAGUUCGAGACCAGCCUGGCCAACAUGGUGAAACCCCAUCUCUA